AGGUGGUGAAUCCUCUGGCAAGGGCAAAGAAAUCGCACCCGAGGAGUAAUAGUUGGAGUACCCGAAUUUAGUUUUCGAAAACUGUGAGUAAACUUAUUAUCGUCUUAAUUAUCUAGAGUAGUUUUAUACAAUUGUGUGAUUUUAUGAAAAAUGGGUUUAAAUGGUAAAUUACUAUGUUUUAGGAGAAAUUAUGAUUUUAUAAAAUGAUUUUAUAAAUUUUCUGGAAAAUCGAAUACUGGUUUUGAAAAUAUAGUAAUUGGAGACUGCCUGCUUGUGUUGUAAAUUUAUGGUUUUAAAUUGAAUGGCUUAUGACAAUAAAUGAGCAUGAAUGGCUAAACUGAUUUUGGUGUUAGAAUUAUUUGUACUGUGUAUUUAGCCUUGAGAGGCUAGGUUGCGAUAAAUUGCCAUGUCAUGCAGAAAAAGAUUUUAUAAAUCAGGUGGUAGAUAAAAGAUUAGCUACUGCAGUGGUGGGGGGUUCCGUGGGCCAGCCUAUUAGAGGGGCACGGUAAACUCCUUUAUAUUCUCACCUCGGUCGUAGAGGCGCGUAGGGUAUCUCCUGAGGUGGGCUUUUUGAGUGCACUUCACGUGAACCACCACGUGAGAGUGAGACUCAGCCAACGCCAAGGAACGGCUAUGUUUUCAAAUAAAAAUAUGAUUUAUGCGAAAUAUGAAUUUUUAACAGCCUUGGCGGACUCGGUUGGAUACCCCUGGUCCAGGUGUCACCGAGUACAGGAUUUGGCAUGAGCCAAGUUUUGAGUAAUUCACGAGCCAUAUUGAUUAUUUGGUUGAAAUGAAUAUUCGUGAUGUGAAAAAUUUACUGAAGUUAAUUAUUUUUAAUUGUCUCCAUUUACUCGCCUUUAGAUAGUUUAGAUGGUGUUUGUUUACUCACUGGGAUUUUAUAAUCUCACCACCCUCAAUUCCCCACAUUUCAGGUUCGGGAUAGCCGGUAGAUAGCCGAUUGCAUCAAGGACUUCAGUUAGCCUUGCAUUGUCAAAAUUAUAGGUUCACAGACUCGCAUCUUAUUGGUUAGUUGGGGGCCCACGUGUCAUUGUAAAAGUAAUUUUAUACUUUAGUUAUCUGAUUUAAAAUAUGUAUGAACAUAUUUAGCUUUUACACCAUGUUUUUGGCGAGUUUCGGUAUUAUC
Molecule: long non-coding RNA, 1144 nt
Filed under: Theobroma cacao (cacao)
Lineage: Eukaryota; Viridiplantae; Streptophyta; Magnoliopsida; Malvales; Malvaceae
Description: long non-coding RNA (TCAC_LNC000528)
Source: RNAcentral